Molecule: ribosomal RNA, 253 nt
Filed under: uncultured bacterium
Lineage: Bacteria
Description: partial 16S ribosomal RNA
Rfam family: Bacterial small subunit ribosomal RNA
Source: RNAcentral
UACAGAGGGUGCAAGCGUUGUUCGGAAUUACUGGGCGUAAAGCGCACGUAGGCGGCUUUGUAAGUUAGAGGUGAAAGCCCGGAGCUCAACUCCGGAAUUGCCUUUAAGACUGCAUCGCUUGAAUCCAGGAGAGGUGAGUGGAAUUCCGAGUGUAGAGGUGAAAUUCGUAGAUAUUCGGAAGAACACCAGUGGCGAAGGCGGCUCACUGGACUGGUAUUGACGCUGAGGUGCGAAAGCGUGGGGAGCAAACAGG